Molecule: long non-coding RNA, 644 nt
Organism: Cryptomeria japonica (Japanese cedar)
Lineage: Eukaryota; Viridiplantae; Streptophyta; Pinopsida; Cupressales; Cupressaceae
Exons: 2
Source: RefSeq, a predicted model, not a curated record
UAUAUCUUCUGAAUUCAUAGGUCAUUAGAUAUAUAGCAGCCUUUAAUAUUUGAUCUCUCUGCAUUGCUUCCUGUGUUAAAUACUUUCCGUUAGGUUAUAGUUCAGCUUAGUGCAUAAUUUGAAAUGUAAAAUGGGUUCCAGUAUGUUGUUCUACAAUAUUUAAGGCAAUUGUUUUGUAUUCCUCUCGGGGUUCUCCAAAUCUCUAAUGUUGAAAUAUAAAAUUUUCAUGUGAUUUGGAGGACAUCCCGAGUGGAACAAGAAAGCUGUUGUCUAUGUUAUUGCAAGAUUCAUCUACCCUAUCAUUUUGUGGAAAAGGGUUGUAUCCAAAACAAUGGAAGAUUUCAUAAUAAAACCAGCCAACAAAAAGAAGAGAGUCAUUAAAGAGAGUGCAAGUUUCUAACAACAGAGAAAGCAACACAUUAUAGCGACUGCAUGAUUAUAACUCUUUGUUUUCAGGUAAUUUUGGGUCUUCUUGCUUUGCACAUAUUGCCAACUAAUAUUUUCUUUCAAAUCUCAGCUCAGGUUCAAGGCAAUCAAUUUUGUUGGCAAUCGCCCUCUUCUCUAUGUAUAUGAUAAAUAAUUGUAAACAAACAUUUAUAUUAAAACAAAAUACAUAGAGUGGACUUGCAUUCUAAUUGUUUUUA